RNAcentral lists this small nucleolar RNA (108 nucleotides) under Eutypa lata UCREL1. Its description in RNAcentral is "A. fumigatus snoRNA Afu_304". It matches the Rfam family "A. fumigatus snoRNA Afu_304". The record is from Rfam by way of RNAcentral. Lineage: Eukaryota; Fungi; Ascomycota; Sordariomycetes; Xylariales; Diatrypaceae.
UUUCAUGAUGACAAAGGGCCAUAGCGCCUGAACUAAUCCCAGCUCUUCGAACACCUCAACUAAAACAACGCUCGAGGUCGUACUGAGAUAAAAACCACACUCUGAUAA